CAUAUACUCCCUCCGUCCGGAAAUCCUUGUCAUUGAAAUGUAUGUAUCUAGAUGUAUUUUAGUUCUAGAUACAUCCAUUUUUAUCAAGUUUUGCUACAAGUAAUUCUUGACAUAGGCAGUAUUAA
This is a non-coding RNA of Hordeum vulgare subsp. vulgare (domesticated barley), 125 nucleotides long. The record is from Rfam. NCBI's taxonomy places the organism in Eukaryota, Viridiplantae, Streptophyta, Magnoliopsida, Poales, Poaceae.